RNAcentral lists this ribosomal RNA (253 nucleotides) under uncultured bacterium. RNAcentral's name for it is "partial 16S ribosomal RNA". It matches the Rfam family "Bacterial small subunit ribosomal RNA", at positions 524 to 776 of the family's 1533-position model. The record is from RNAcentral.
UACGGAGGGUGCAAGCGUUAUCCGGAUUUACUGGGUUUAAAGGGUGCGUAGGCGUCCCGAGAAGUUUUCAGCGAAAUCCUCCAGCUCAACUGGAGAACUGUUGGAAAAACUUUCGGGAUUGAAUGCGGUGGAAGUUAGCGGAAUAAAUCAUGUAGCGGUGAAAUGCAUAGAUAUGAUUUAGAACACCAAUUGCGAAGGCAGCUAGCUAUACCGUGAUUGACGCUGAGGCACGAAAGCGUGGGGAGCGAACAGG